GGGGCGGAGCCAGGAGCAUCAGCGGGGUCACCCCCUGUGUGUAUAAAUCCUGCUACCAGGGAGUGCAGCGACACAGAAGGAGCACCAGCAGGAUGGGCAACCAGGCUAAGUGACCAGACUGCUACCACGCAGACAGCAAGCAGCAAAGCUGGGAGCCAGCCAAGACUUCUCCAGCCUGAAGCCUGGGCUUUGUUUGCAGAGUGGCUCCAGCUCCCCACUACACCUCUCACAUGGCCAUGAGUGAGCUAGCACCGCAACCCAGGCACCAUUACGCACCUUCUGAGUGAGUGGUACUGUCCUCAGUCAGCCAGUGAACUCCCAGUUUUGGCCCUCUUAGUAAGGCCCUCACGACUGUGCUGAAUUGCAGAAGACAUUGCAAAGACUUUUCUUGAAUCACUUCCACUUCAGCUUUCAAGGAAAAACAUUCAUGUAAAGUAGUGCCCUUUGACAGAAAUGAUGCAAGACUCUCCUGCAUCCCUUGAGUCGGGCAGAAUAAUUCCUGCUAUGGUGUCCUACAGAACGUGAAUUUCAACAUCAGUGCUGACCAGAGUGAAGAAAAUCAAAGACCUGAGAAUACAGGAAGCUGUCUAAGCAAAAGGAAAUGGAAGUGUUACGAAGUGUUAUUUCUCCACUGAGGUGCAGCCUUCCCUCUUCUUCCUCAAAAUUUGUUUCAAAUUAAGACUGCUCU
This 688-nucleotide long non-coding RNA is filed under the name Gallus gallus (chicken). RNAcentral describes it as "long non-coding RNA NONGGAT004075". The record is from RNAcentral. Lineage: Eukaryota; Metazoa; Chordata; Aves; Galliformes; Phasianidae.